Molecule: RNA transcript, 2204 nt
Organism: Pogoniulus pusillus (Red-fronted tinkerbird)
Lineage: Eukaryota; Metazoa; Chordata; Aves; Piciformes; Lybiidae
Gene: CCNL1
Gene name: cyclin L1
Exons: 11
Source: RefSeq, a predicted model, not a curated record
GCUGUGUGCUGCGUCACGGCGUCGGCCGCGCUAGUCUGUGCGUGGCCGGCUCGGGGUGCGGACGCCCUCCGCCAUCAUGGCCUCUGCUGCCGCCACUCCACAGCCGCCCCCCCCGCCACCUCCUGCUGUUGCCACCGCUGCUGCCGCCGCCCCUCCGCCGCCGCCUCCUCCCGCCGCUCCGGGGAUUCUCAUCGGCGACCGGCUUUACUCGGAGGUGUCGCUGACGAUCGACCACUCGCUUAUCCCAGAGGAGCGCCUCUCGCCUACUCCCUCCAUGCAAGACGGCCUGGACCUGCAGUGCGAGACCGACCUGCGCAUCUUGGGCUGCGAGCUCAUCCAGGCGGCGGGCAUCCUCCUUCGGCUGCCGCAGGUGGCGAUGGCGACGGGGCAGGUGCUGUUUCAUCGGUUCUUCUACUCGAAGUCCUUCGUCAAACACAGUUUUGAGAUUGUUGCUAUGGCCUGCAUCAAUCUCGCAUCGAAAAUUGAAGAGGCACCUCGCCGUAUAAGGGACGUGAUCAACGUGUUCCACCAUUUGCGGCAGCUAAGAGCAAAAAGGACUCCAAGCCCCCUGAUACUUGAUCAGAACUACAUAAACACCAAAAAUCAAGUAAUCAAAGCAGAAAGGAGGGUACUGAAGGAGUUGGGAUUUUGUGUUCAUGUCAAGCAUCCACACAAGAUAAUUGUUAUGUAUUUACAAGUCCUAGAAUGUGAACGUAACCAAACCCUGGUACAGACAGCCUGGAAUUACAUGAACGACAGCCUCCGGACAAACGUCUUUGUUCGCUUCCAGCCAGAGACCAUAGCCUGUGCUUGCAUUUACCUGGCUGCUCGAGCUCUGCAGGUGAGUAUUACUGGCUGCCUUUUAGUCCAAAGAAUCUGCUUCACGAUGGAAGCUCUUUCAAACAAAAGCUUGGCCUGCAAUCUCCUCUUCCUGUUUGCUUUUCAGAUCCCACUCCCUACCCGUCCUCACUGGUUCUUGCUCUUUGGCACCACGGAAGAGGAGAUUCAGGAGAUCUGCUUAACUACUCUCAAGCUGUACACCAGAAAGAAGCCCAAUUACGAAUUUCUGGAUAAAGAAGUAGAAAAGAGGAAAAUGGCACUACAGGAAGCUAAGCUGAAGGCAAAAGGUUUGAAUCCAGAUGGAACUCCAGCGCUCUCUACCCUGGGUGGCUUUUCUCCUGCAUCUAAACCAUCUUCCCCAAGAGAAGUCAAAACUGAAGAGAAGACUCCAGUGUCUCUGAACACCAAGCCUGUUAAGAAAGAGCCAGAAGAGAGGCAGCAGGCUUCAAAGAGCCCUUACAACGGCAUGAGGAAAGAAAGCAAGAGGAGUAGAAGCAGCAGAAGCGCAAGCCGGUCCAGGUCGAGGACAAAGUCGCGGUCCCGGUCUCACACUCCCCGGCGGCACUACAACAACCGUCGGAGCCUGUCUGGUACCUACAGCUCCAGGUCGCGGAGCCGGUCCCGCAGCCACAGCGGCAGCCCCCGGCGCCACCACAACCACGGCUCCUCCCCGCACCUGAAGGCCAAGCACGGCAGGGAGGAGCUGAAGAGCACCAACAGACACGGCCACAAGAGGAAAAAGUCUCGGUCGCGCUCCCAGAGCAAGUCCAGGGAGCACUCGGAGGCCGCCAAGAAGCACAGGCAUGAGCGCGGCCACCACCGGGAGCGGCGUGAACGCUCCCGCUCCUUCGACAGGGCCCACAAGGGCAAGCACCACGGCAGCGGCCGCUCGGGGCACGGCCGGCACCGCCGCUGAGCUGCCACCGGCUCCGCCACCGAGCCUGGCGCCGCCACGCGGCCUGGCACCGACGGACUGUGUGCGCUGGGGCGGCGGAGCAGCCGCGGCAGCUGAGGCGCUAAACCCGCCCCAGGCUCCCAGAAGGCUGCUCUUUGGUUUCUGCCUUUUCUGCAGCAGUAUCCAAACUGGUGGCAAAGCAAGGAUCAGGUUGACGUUGUCUCUGUGUUUAGAGUCCUGUGUUGUUCAUCCAGCUGAGAACUGGAGAAUGGAUUCCUGUCCAAAAGAAAAAACAUGGGGAAGGAAAAAAAAAAAGAGGCAAAACUUCUCUUAUUUUUAUACCAACCAACUGCAGACACUUCUAUUUAAGUAGAGUUAUUUGUUUAAAGGAUGGUGGCUACCUUUCUUACACUGGUUUUAGUCUGCAUGUGUUGAAAGAUUUUUACAAGAAAUAAAAUCUAAAGCUUUA